CACUGGUCGAGAGUUCUCGCCGCUCUCCUGAUGAGUCCUAGGCAGGAAAAAACCAGUA
RNAcentral lists this small RNA (58 nucleotides) under Helianthus annuus (common sunflower). The record is from RNAcentral. Lineage: Eukaryota; Viridiplantae; Streptophyta; Magnoliopsida; Asterales; Asteraceae.